AUGAGGACAAUAAAUUCUGUAUUAUUUUGGAUGGAACUAAACAUGAUCCUAAAAUUUUGGUAUUUUGCAUUUUAUCACUCCAAAAUAGUUGGCAUUUUGCAUUUUAGAUUCUAUGGGGAACUAAACACCGCCUGAGUUUGUGUCCUAGGCCAAGGUCUUGUUGCUGGUUUAGAUUGUGUUCUUUUCUAGUUUAUGUUAAUCGUCGUCAUCCCGUUUAAAACCCUAAUUCGAGCAGUUUUCUUAAAACUGUUAUAACUUUUAUGUUCGAAUUCGAAAUGGGUAAAUUUUAUAUCUAUGGAGAACGCUAAAAAAUUUUAGAUCUAUUUUAUCCCAGCAAAGCUGGGUUCAUAAAAAUUAGAUUUGCGAAAUUCAAUCAGGAAAAUUGAGUUUCUAGGCCCACAAGUUUUGGUAUGCUUUUCGCAGCACAAUUCUAAUUUUCUAUAAGCCACAUCUUUUAUCCAAUCAAGCUAAAUUUUUUUGCGGUUUGUCCUUGAGUGCUUCUUGUCGAGGAAAAAAUAUCAAAAGGGUAAAAGCAAAAAAAAAGUUUGGACAAAAAAAGAAAAGAAAAAAAUAGUAAAAAAAGAGAAGAGAUCGAAAAAAGAGCACACACAGAACUAAAUAGCUCUAUUGUUUGUGGUGCCUUUUGUCUUGUCCUAUUUCCGUUGCUAUCUUCAUAUUUGUUUCUAGUUAUACUUGUUUCACUCCCUUGUUUAUCAUACCUGGUGCUAGAAACACAUAUAGGCCAGCAACUAGGACAAGUGCUCUGGAUAUUUAUUCAAUAUUGCUAUCUGUUACUGACUUGCGUGCCACAUAUACAUAAUUAUUCUUUUGUUUGCCUCCUAAACUCCACAUAUACUUCAGAUCAGUACAGAAAAAGAUCAUUGCAAUCUUGGGCUACGCCUUUCAGGUAUCCUUUGUCUUGAUAGUAAGAACCUUGUAAGCACUUGAAAGGUGUUUCUUGUAACACCCUAGGUGUU
RNAcentral lists this long non-coding RNA (977 nucleotides) under Sorghum bicolor (sorghum). RNAcentral describes it as "long non-coding RNA (SBIC_LNC004782)". The record is from RNAcentral. Lineage: Eukaryota; Viridiplantae; Streptophyta; Magnoliopsida; Poales; Poaceae.